AUGAGACCUUGGAGGACUGAAGUGGAGAAGGGUUUCGUGUGAACAGUGGUUGAUCACGAGUUAGUCGGUCCUAAGUUCAAGGCGAAAGCUGAAAAUUUUCAAGUUAUAAUUGACAAUUGCAAAAUUGUGUGAUUAAACACUUGAAUAAUUUUGAACGAAAGGGAAUACGGUUCCAAUUCCGUAACCUGUUGAGUAUCCGUUUGUUAUUAAAUAUGGGCCUUGUGCUCAUCCUGGCAACAGGAACGACCAUAAAGAAGCCGUCGAGAGG
This 268-nucleotide ribosomal RNA is filed under the name Musca domestica (house fly). Its description in RNAcentral is "partial 28S ribosomal RNA". It matches the Rfam family "Eukaryotic large subunit ribosomal RNA", at positions 1475 to 1678 of the family's 3401-position model. Lineage: Eukaryota; Metazoa; Arthropoda; Insecta; Diptera; Muscidae. The record is from RNAcentral.